This 238-nucleotide ribosomal RNA is filed under the name Penelomax septentrionalis. RNAcentral's name for it is "partial 12S ribosomal RNA". Lineage: Eukaryota; Metazoa; Arthropoda; Insecta; Ephemeroptera; Ephemerellidae. The record is from RNAcentral.
GGCGGUGGUUUAACUAACCAGAGGAAUUUGCCCUGUAAUCGAUAACCCCCGCUGUAUGUUACUUAAAUUUGUAGACAGCUUGUAUACCGCCGUCAUCNGGAAAUUUUUAGAAAGUAUUUUCAGGAUUUUAUCAAAGUAUAUGUCAGGUCAAGGUGCAGCUUAUAUUUAAGAAGAGGUGAAUUACAAUAAAAAAAUUUAAUACGAAAUAUUUAAUGAAAUUUAGAUAUGAAGGUGGAUU